Molecule: long non-coding RNA, 710 nt
Organism: Fukomys damarensis (Damara mole-rat)
Lineage: Eukaryota; Metazoa; Chordata; Mammalia; Rodentia; Bathyergidae
Source: Ensembl
GCUCUUCUUGCUCUCCUCCACUUUCCUGUGAUGUACUGUGUCUGGCUGAUUUUACCAUCCUAACCUUGUCCCCAGGUUGAUGUGAGCUGGCAUAUAUGUCUUGGGCUUCAUCUGCAAUUUCCAUCCAGUCAUCUAUAAAACAAGCUGUUUGAAGAGAAUGAGUGAGAACAACAGAGGAAACAGCUACACUGGCGAUCAAUAGCACCGAUGAAGCCAUUCCUGAAGCCAUCAUUUUCUUUGUCCUGUGUGCAGGUGGUCAAUCAGAGAUUGCAUGACAUGUAUCACAGAAGUGUUGGACCAAGUCUCGGUAUUCUCCAUGCGUGAUCCCAGAGAGGCUGUUUAUUUUGCUGCUGGUCCUUAAUCUGCCAUUUUUAAUCUCUUGGAAGAAAAUACUUAGUUGUUAAGAACUUGGUGCUGCACGAAGACAUGCAGUAGUCCAGGAUCACCUGAAGGCACCUAAAGUUUCCAGAGGAGCUCUCCGUUGGGGUGUGUGUGUAUGUGUGCGUGUGUGUGCGCUUGUAGGCAGGGUCGAUACUUUCCUAUGCUGCCCUCUAGUGGCCAGUGGCUGAGCUCCAGCUCCUUAGUUACCUUUCCUCGGGAGUAGAGUUCUACCUUCUAGUCAGGCCUCAAGUGGGUGCAUACUAAACAUAAGAUGCCUUGAAUUUUAAUUAUAUGAGUAGUAAUAAACAUAUAUUUAUUAAAAAACCGGG